CUGCUCCAGGAGGAGGCGGAGCCCUCCGGCGUCAUGGAGCAGCUAGUUCUAGGCCUGUGGGCUUUGCUGGUGUCGGUGGAGUUUUGUGGAGGCGCGACAGAGCCAGGUGUGAACCUGAGCUGCUACCAGUGCUUCAAAGUCUCCAGCCAGGCGUUGUGCAAGCCUGCCGCGUGCUACUCCACGGACCGGGUCUGUGUCU
Ceratotherium simum simum (southern white rhinoceros) is the source of this 199-nucleotide non-coding RNA. The record is from RefSeq and is a predicted model, not a curated record. NCBI's taxonomy places the organism in Eukaryota, Metazoa, Chordata, Mammalia, Perissodactyla, Rhinocerotidae.